UACGGCUCAGUAACACGUGGAUAACCUACCCUUAGGACCGGGAUAACCYGGGAAACUGGGGCUAAUMCUGGAUAGAUGAUUUUUCCUGGAAUGGGUUUUUGUUUAAAUGUUUUUUCGCCUAAGGAUGGGUCUGCGGCAGAUUAGGUAGUUGGUUAGGUAAUGGCUUACCAAGCCUAUGAUCUGUACGGGUUGUGAGAGCAAGAGCCCGGAGAUGGAACCUGAGACAAGGUUUCCAGGCCCUACGGGGCGCAGCAGGCGCGAAACCUCCGCAAUGUGAGAAAUCGCGACGGGGGGAUCCCAAGUGCCAUUCUUAACGGGAUGRCAAUUMUUAAGUGUAAAAAGCUUUUGGAAUAAGAGCUGGGCAAGACCGGUGCCAGCCGCCGCGGUAACACCGGCAGCUCUAGUGGUAGCUGUUUUUAUUGGGCCUAAAGCGUUCGUAGCCGGUUUGAUAAGUCACUGGUGAAAUCCUGUAGCUUAACUGUGGGAAUUGCUGGUGAUACUGUUGAACUUGAGGUCGGGAGAGGUUAGCGGUACUCCCAGGGUAGAGGUGAAAUUCUGUAAUCCUGGGAGGACCACCUGUGGCGAAGGCGGCUAACUGGAACGAACCUGACGGUGAGGGACGAGAGCUAGGGGCGCGAUCCGGUUUAGAUACCCGGGUAGUCCUAGCCGUAAACGAUCCGGCCCCUUUUUGGAUGGCUUUGAGCCGCUCCGGUGCCGAAGGGAAGCUGUUAAGUCCGCCGCCUKGGAA
This 748-nucleotide ribosomal RNA is filed under the name uncultured Methanobrevibacter sp. RNAcentral describes it as "bacterial SSU rRNA". It matches the Rfam family "Archaeal small subunit ribosomal RNA", at positions 84 to 834 of the family's 1478-position model. The record is from RNAcentral. Lineage: Archaea; Methanobacteriati; Methanobacteriota; Methanobacteria; Methanobacteriales; Methanobacteriaceae.